Non-coding RNA from Bacillus cereus AH603, 230 nucleotides. Lineage: Bacteria; Bacillati; Bacillota; Bacilli; Caryophanales; Bacillaceae. The record is from Rfam.
GGAUUCUCGUCGAGUAAGAACUAGCCAUUCGCUCGUAGCGAGUCUUGGAGGGCUAAAGGUAACUUUAGUCUUUAAGCGUAGACAGUUAGGUGGCGGAUUUGCUUUACUGAUCGUUCUAUUCAUCCUGUUAAUCAUUAUAGGAUGUAGUUGUUGGGGCGGCGGUAGCGGCGGAUUCGGUUACUAAAAAAAGGGGUACUCAUAAGGGUGUCUUUUUUCUCAAUAUAAGAACU